Molecule: ribosomal RNA, 253 nt
Filed under: uncultured bacterium
Lineage: Bacteria
Description: partial 16S ribosomal RNA
Rfam family: Bacterial small subunit ribosomal RNA
Source: RNAcentral
UACGGGGGGUGCGAGCGUUGUCCGGAUUCACUGGGCGUAAAGGGCGCGUAGGCGGCUGGAUCAGUCGGGUCUGUAAGUGCGGGGCUCAACCCCGUGAUGGACUCGGGACGGUCGAGCUGGGGCGCGGUAGAGGGAGACGGAAUGCCGGGUGUAGUGGUGAAAUGCGUAGAGAUCCGGCGGAACACCGGUGGUGGAGGCGGUCUCCUGGGCCGAGGGCCGACGCUGAAGCGCGAGAGCGUGGGGAGCGAACCGG